GGAAAUUUAGUACAUCAACUUCUUCGCUAUGAAUCUCUUAUAUAUGAAAUAAAUAUUGUAAGAAAUGUCACCUCGUAAUUGCCAAAGGAACAAGGGCAUCACAUACUUGGAAGAAAUUAUUGCAGGUGAGGGAGGAAGUAGAACAUGAGACUUGGUGGCAAAUCAAAAGCGAAAAAUCCAGCUUUAAAUUUGACAAGUAGACACAACAAAGAGCACUAGACCAUUGUCGCACCCUAUUUUUCAUCAAAAACGGACUUUAAUGCACGACCUAACAACUCUUUUGGACUUUUAGGUUGAUUGAAGAGUCGUCACCUAACAAAUUAAGGCGCGUUAGCGAACCUAUUUAACCUAACUAAUUCUAACUAAGGUCAACGAACCAAAGAUUAGAGUAAGGAUUCAAAUUACCUCGAGGGGAAGAUGUUAAGCAUACCUCGAGGUCCACAAAUAUGGAUUCCGGCCUUAUCUCAUGCAAUUUAUGUG
This 480-nucleotide unclassified non-coding RNA is filed under the name Hevea brasiliensis (rubber tree). The record is from RNAcentral. Lineage: Eukaryota; Viridiplantae; Streptophyta; Magnoliopsida; Malpighiales; Euphorbiaceae.